GAGACCGUACCGCAAACCGACACAGGUGGGCGAGAUGAGUAUUCUAAGGCGCUUGAGAGAACUCGGGAGAAGGAACUCGGCAAAUUGGUACCGUAACUUCGGGAUAAGGUACGCCUCGGUAGCUUGACCACUUUACUGUGGAAGGGCGAAAAGGUUGCAAUAAACUGGUGGCUGCGACUGUUUAAUAAAAACACAGCACUCUGCAAACACGAAAGUGGACGUAUAGGGUGUGACGCCUGCCCGGUGCUGGAAGAUUAAAUGAUGGGGUG
This 269-nucleotide ribosomal RNA is filed under the name Pseudoduganella guangdongensis. RNAcentral describes it as "partial 23S ribosomal RNA". It matches the Rfam family "Bacterial large subunit ribosomal RNA", at positions 1638 to 1891 of the family's 2925-position model. Lineage: Bacteria; Pseudomonadati; Pseudomonadota; Betaproteobacteria; Burkholderiales; Oxalobacteraceae. The record is from RNAcentral.